RNAcentral lists this ribosomal RNA (649 nucleotides) under Pristimantis cf. toftae AJC-2011. RNAcentral's name for it is "partial 12S ribosomal RNA". It matches the Rfam family "Bacterial small subunit ribosomal RNA", at positions 382 to 1392 of the family's 1533-position model. Lineage: Eukaryota; Metazoa; Chordata; Amphibia; Anura; Strabomantidae. The record is from RNAcentral.
CCCAAAACAUCUAGCCGCGCCACACCCCCAAGGGGUAUUCAGCAGUGAUUAAUAUUAAAAAUUAACGUCAGUUAGAUUUAGUUAAUGAAAGCAGGGCCGGCCAACCUGGUGCCAGCCGCCGCGGUUACACCAUGCGACCCAAAUUGACCCGGCGUAAAGCGUGAUUAGAGUGAGGUUAAACCUAGACUAAGCUGUAAAAUACUUGUCGCCAGUAAACCCCGACCCGAAAGAUACCUCACUCAAUUCCUUGAAUUCACGACAACUARGGCAUAAACUGGGAUUAGAUACCCCACUAUACCUAGUCAUAAACUUUAACUUACACCGCCCGGGAACUACGAGCAAAGCUUAAAACCCAAGGGACUUGACGGUACCCCGCAUCCCCCUAGAGGAGCCUGUCCUAUAAUCGAUGACCCCCGUUUAACCUCACCACUUUUAGCAACCUGUAUACUUCCGUCGCCAGCUUACCACAUGAGUGAGUAAGCUUAAUAACAAUACGUCAGGUCAAAGUGCAGUAAAUAAAGUGGGAAGAGAUGGGCUACACUUUCUAAUUUAGAAAACACGAAAGAUCCUAUGAAACAGAAGGCGGAUUUAGUAGUAAGGGUGGAGUAGAGUACCUUCCUUAAUUCGGCACCGGGGUGUGUACACACCG